Molecule: transfer RNA, 85 nt
Filed under: Aliarcobacter butzleri
Lineage: Bacteria; Pseudomonadati; Campylobacterota; Epsilonproteobacteria; Campylobacterales; Arcobacteraceae
Also listed under: 4 other names
Description: tRNA-Leu
Rfam family: tRNA
About the family: Transfer RNA (tRNA) molecules are approximately 80 nucleotides in length. Their secondary structure includes four short double-helical elements and three loops (D, anti-codon, and T loops).
Source: RNAcentral
GCAGAUAUGGUGGAAUUGGUAGACACGUACGCUUGAGGUGCGUAUGGAGCAAUCUGUGGGGGUUCGAGUCCCCCUAUCUGCACCA